UUCUUUUUUAUUGUUUUUUUUUUCUUUUUCUUUCUUUUUCUCUCUUUUUUCUUUCUCCUUUCUUCUUCUUCUUCCCUUUACUUUUUCUUUCCGUUGAGCCCAGCCUCCGCUUCUCCUCCAUUGUCCACUGCCACCGUCGACUCCUCCGUUCGGUGGUGCUAGUCUCGGCGUUCUCUCCUCUUCUUUUCUCCUCCCUUUUUCUCUUCUUUCUCUUAUCUUCUCCCUUUGGCUUUCUCUCUUUUCUUCUCUUCUCCCCUUUCUUUUUCUUUCUCUUUCGAAAGCCCGGAAAUUAGAAGCGACGCCGCCCCUCCAAUCCGCCGUUCGUUACUCGAUCCUCCUCCGCCUUAAGUGGCCGUGGUAAAGGGUGGCAGAGGAGCCAUGAUGGCCUAGGGGGGCUGCUGGAGUAGCUCGGCUGGGAGGGGUACGCUCGGCUGCUGCAGCGGCGAUUAGACAAGUCCGGAAGGACUAAAUUGCAUAGGAUGCAAAGCUUCUGGGGCAAAAGUGUAAUUUUAGGAAAAUAUAGGGCUAAAGGGUAAUUUCUAGAAACUUUAGGGGUUAAAGUGAAAUUUUGAGAAAGUUUAAGGGUUGAAAUGUAAUUUUAGAAAAGUUUAGGGUUAAAAUGUAAAUUUUGAAAAGUAUAGGGGUCAAAAUGCAAUUUUUUUAAUUUUUUUUAACACGAAAUUAUUCCCGGACAAAAUUCAGUGAUUACAGAACAUUUCAUUUAUUAAUUUUUAGAAAAAAAUCUUUAUCUCAAGAAA
Gossypium raimondii (Peruvian cotton) is the source of this 758-nucleotide long non-coding RNA. RefSeq lists it as uncharacterized. The record is from RefSeq and is a predicted model, not a curated record. The transcript is spliced from 2 exons. Lineage: Eukaryota; Viridiplantae; Streptophyta; Magnoliopsida; Malvales; Malvaceae.